UUAUCUUAGUGGCGGACGGGUGAGUAACACGUGAGCAACCUGCCUUUGAGAGAGGGAUAGCUUCUGGAAACGGAUGGUAAUACCUCAUGACAUAAUUGAAGGGCUUCCUUUGAUUAUCAAAGAUUUAUCACUCAAAGAUGGGCUCGCGUCUGAUUAGAUAGUUGGUGAGGUAACGGCUCACCAAGUCGACGAUCAGUAGCCGGACUGAGAGGUUGAACGGCCACAUUGGGACUGAGACACAGCCCAGACUCCUACGGGAGGCAGCAGUGGGGAAUAUUGCGCAAUGGGGGAAACCCUGACGCAGCAACGCCGCGUGAUUGAAGAAGGUCUUCGGAUUGUAAAAAUCUUUUAUCAAGGACGAAGAAGUGACGGUACUUGAUGAAUAAGCUCCGGCUAACUACGUGCCAGCAGCCGCGGUAAUACGUAGGGAGCAAGCGUUAUCCGGAUUUACUGGGUGUAAAGGGCGAGUAGGCGGAUUGGCAAGUUGGGAGUGAAAUGUCGGGGCUUAACCCCGGAACUGCUUCCAAAACUGUUGAUCUUGAGUGAUGGAGAGGCAGGCGGAAUUCCCAGUGUAGCGGUGAAAUGCGUAGAUAUUGGGAGGAACACCAGUGGCGAAGGCGGCCUGCUGGACAUUAACUGACGCUGAGGAGCGAAAGCGUGGGGAGCAAACAGGAUUAGAUACCCUGGUAGUCCACGCCGUAAACGAUGGAUACUAGGUGUGGGAGGUAUUGACCCCUUCCGUGCCGCAGUUAACACAUUAAGUAUCCCACCUGGGGAGUACGACCGCAAGGUUGAAACUCAAAGGAAUUGACGGGGGCCCGCACAAGCAGUGGAGUAUGUGGUUUAAUUCGACGCAACGCGAAAAACCUUACCAGGUCUUGACAUCCGACUAACGAAGCAGAGAUGCAUUAGGUGCCUUUCGGGGAAAGUUGAGACAGGUGGUGCAUGGUUGUCGUCAGCUCGUGUCGUGAGAUGUUGGGUUAAGUCCCGCAACGAGCGCAACCCUUAUUAUUAGUUGCUACGCAAGAGCACUCUAGUAAGACUGCCGUUGACAAAACGGAGGAAGGUGGGGAUGACGUCAAAUCAUCAUGCCCUUUAUGACCUGGGCUACACACGUACUACAAUGGCGGUAAACAAAAGGGAGCGAAGGGGUGACCCGGAGCAAAUCCCGAAAAGCCGUCUCAGUUCAGACUGCAGGCUGAAACUCGCCUGCACGAAGUCGGAAUUGCUAGUAAUCGAGAAUCAGCAUGUCACGGUGAAUACGUUCCCGGGC
This 1273-nucleotide ribosomal RNA is filed under the name uncultured bacterium. RNAcentral describes it as "bacterial SSU rRNA". It matches the Rfam family "Bacterial small subunit ribosomal RNA", at positions 87 to 1379 of the family's 1533-position model. The record is from RNAcentral.